GUGUGGGUGUGCAGCGUGUGUUUGGGUGUGCAAUGGCUGGGGUGUGGGUGUGCGCGCACCCCGUGCAACCCCCGUGUGCUGUGGGUGUGCUGCGGGUGGUGUGUGUGUGUGUGCGUGCAUUGCACGUGAGCGUGCGCUGUGUGUGCCUGUGUCUGGGCAUGCUGUGCCUGCUGUGGGUGGUGUGCGCGUGUACAUGCGUGUGCCCUGCACGUGUGCACUGUGGGUGUGCGCUGCCCGUGUGCACUGGGGGGGGGCGUGAGCACCGUGUGCAUGCACUGGGGGUGUCGAAUGUACACGCACUGUGUGCACACUCGCGCUGUGUGUGUGUGCUGCUGGUGUAGCGUGUGUGCACUGUGCGUGCACGCCCCGGGUGCUGUACGUGCACGUGCUGUGUGCACACUCGGGGUGCUGCACAUGCCCGGGCUGCGUGUGCACGCUGCGUGUGUCCUGCGGGUGCUUCGUGAGUGUGCGCAAUGUGCGUGCGCUGUGGGUGUUGUGCGUGCACGUGCUGCGUGUGCGCUGUGCCUGUGCUUCGGGUGUCGGGUGCGUGUGCACCGUGGGUGUGCGUGCACUGUGUGCGCGCUGCAGGUGUUGGGUGUGCGCGUGCUGAGUGUGCACACUGUGUGUGCUCGGGGUGUUGCGUGUGCGUGCAACAUGGGUGUGCGUGCACUGUGGGUGUGCACUGUGGGUGUGCCCUACGGGUGGGUGUGCACUACGGGUGCGCCCUGCGGGUGUGCACACACUGUGAGUGUGCACUGUAGGUGCGUGUGCACUGUGUGGGUGUGCACUGCGGGUGUGCGUGCCCGACGGGUGUGCACUACGGGUGCGUGUGCACUGUGCGUGUGCACAGUGGGUGUGCACACCGCAUAUGUGCACUGUGGGUGUGGGUGUGCGACGCACGUGCACCAGCGGCUGUUGCACGCGCGCGUGCACCCUGUGGGUGUGCCCCGGCCGUUGUGCUGCGCGUGCCCCCGCUCCGUGCACACCCACCCACACCCACACUCACUCGCACACACGCGCGUGCCCCGCCCCGCCCCCCCGCGUGUCGCACACCCGCCCCUUGCACACGCGCGUGCCCCCGGCCGCUGCUGCGUCACCAGGCCUGCGGGGCGGGGG
RNAcentral lists this long non-coding RNA (1116 nucleotides) under Anser brachyrhynchus (Pink-footed goose). Its description in RNAcentral is "lncRNA (ENSABRG00000008209.1)". The record is from RNAcentral. Lineage: Eukaryota; Metazoa; Chordata; Aves; Anseriformes; Anatidae.